This 437-nucleotide long non-coding RNA is filed under the name Mus musculus (house mouse). RNAcentral's name for it is "long non-coding RNA chr15:83394125-83394562". Lineage: Eukaryota; Metazoa; Chordata; Mammalia; Rodentia; Muridae. The record is from RNAcentral.
AACCAUGACCCAUAGGCUCCUCUGGGUCAAUCAGGGAGGAUAAGGGGCUGCAGAGCAGGGCCAGUGCCCAUGCCUGUCUCCACUGUAUCCCAGUGCAGUGUCAUCCCAGGAAGCCCACAUCUGUAAGCUACUAAGACAACUUGACACUUUACACUCAUAAUGAAGGCUCAAGAACCACACCUGCUCCCUCUCAUCCCUGGAAGAGGAAAGCAUCUGUCAGCAGAAGGCUGGCAACGUCCCUCCAGGCAAGUCCAUGUUCUGGAACUCAAAUGUCUGACCCAAUACUGGCAGAGGAUGUCUACAAGCUGCAGCACCUUCUCUGCUGGCUUGGAAGACGCAAGGAAUGACGGACCAACAGGCUUUGGGGGUGUGCGCUUAAAUUACAGCUCUGCAGGUGGUGACAGUAACUAACUAAAAGGCCCUCUGACUUUGUGUUC